AUAGCACCCAUCAGGGGAAGGUAAGAACCUUCGACCAAGGUUCGCGCCGAGUAUAGCGAGACAACGACGCGCAGCGGCGGCCCGAAGGGCGAGGAACAACGUGACGAGUAAUCCUUCCCCCACCACCA
Molecule: small RNA, 128 nt
Filed under: Yersinia enterocolitica
Lineage: Bacteria; Pseudomonadati; Pseudomonadota; Gammaproteobacteria; Enterobacterales; Yersiniaceae
Description: RtT sRNA
Rfam family: RtT RNA
About the family: This family represents a bacterial cis-regulatory element known as RtT RNA. The exact function of RtT is unknown although it is thought that it may be involved in changing the cellular response in relation to amino acid starvation.
Source: RNAcentral